Molecule: long non-coding RNA, 866 nt
Organism: Lycium ferocissimum
Lineage: Eukaryota; Viridiplantae; Streptophyta; Magnoliopsida; Solanales; Solanaceae
Exons: 2
Source: RefSeq, a predicted model, not a curated record
UCGAAUUCACACAUCAAGCACUAUGCUCUUACCCCUAGAACAAAACCCUAGGGCCGACUUGGUAUGUAAUCCUAGUGAAUUUAACGGGCCUGCUGGACUAGAAGCUUCUCAAGCUCAAGCGCUUUACUUUCUAGUUACAGACCAACGUCCGGGGCUAACAUAAGAUCCGUGUAAUGACCUCUGAGUCAUUAAUAAUAAAUUAGACUAGAAACGACAUCGUUUGGUCUUUUAAUUAAUCAACUCAUUAACGAAAUUAGGGGCAUCAUUUAAAAGUUAGUUAAGUGAUCGUGCGGCUCAAACUAGAAGAGAAUGGAGGGUGCAGAUUGCUUGAUGGAGCCAAGUAUAAGUACUCCCAAAAUACAGAUGAGGAAAAUGUGAAAAUUUGUUAUGUUAUCUAAUGGAGCUGGAAUGGCUGAGUUGAUUAAUUGGGCUGAAUUAGUAGUUGUUAUAGUCUAUUUUAGUCGAACUAUUAGAAUUUGGGUUGUAUUGAGUACUGUGACUGAGUUUAUUGAAAUUUUGAGAUUAUUAAGUUGUAAUUUGACUAUUGAAUGCAUUGAGUAUUGUGGAGGUGACUAAUUAGUUGAUAAAUCUAUCUCGAGUCUACUACAAUCCGCUCAAAAACCUACUAGUUUAGGUAAAUAUCUAAAUGUGUUCUUGGAGAAGUCAUUUUUGUUGGAGAAACUAUGCGUUCUUGGAUUUGCGCCAAAGGCUCCAAAUGGCUUAGACUUAACUAGGUUGAAAAACGACGUACAACCUUAUGAGGAAUGUCAUUCUGCAGAAUAUAUGAUUCAUUCUCCUUUAAGUUCUUUAUUCAGGAGUGGUGUAGCUAACGAGACCAAUGCAAUUAUUAUAUAUCUCUUGGCAUC